Molecule: RNA transcript, 3647 nt
Organism: Zea mays
Lineage: Eukaryota; Viridiplantae; Streptophyta; Magnoliopsida; Poales; Poaceae
Gene name: homeobox-DDT domain protein RLT2 - long chain acyl-CoA synthetase pseudogene
Exons: 3
Source: RefSeq, marked validated
ACUGCGGUGCCCAGACCGCUUCGGUUGAAGGAAUCCCUGCCUUGGCUUCGCACUAUAUCUCUACAAUUCCUUAAGAGUAUAAGGAGGGCGUCCACCACCCUCACCCUGGUUCCGCCCUCCCCCCGCCGCUCGCCGCUAAUCUCGCCGCGCACGCCCCCUCCCUCGCGUCCACAGCUAGCUUGCCCUCGCCUUCGCUGAAUCCGCCCCUCCCCGCACUCGCGCAUGGAACCACCCAGCCUCCGCCCCCGUCCACCUUGGCCCCGGCACCGUAGGCGGAUCUGUGCCUUUCCUCGCCCGCGUCCACCCCCAUCGCCUCCUCCUACACCUUCUCCGCCAUCGGCAUCAUCGCCUCCGUCCUCGGCCCUCCCUGCACACUGCAACCGCCUCCUGACGAUGCUCGCGUGGGAUGGUGACGGUGACGCGGCGAUCCGUGGCUUGUGCCCCCUCCGCCGCCUCCAGCACCUUCUCUGCCAUCGGCAUCUCCAUCCUUGGCGCGGCAUGGUGAGUCAGCGCACGCCUCCACACCAUGUCUCACUAGAUCUGCCGCUUUGCUAGGUCUUUCCUGCGCAAUGGGUCCUGGGCGGGUGGACACGGUCUCGAUGGUCUCCACCGUGGAGCCGGAGAUGGAAAAGGAGUAAGGCAAGGUGGUGGCGAAAGCGGAGCCUGCGCCCGCCGGACCGAAUCCUCGCCGGAUCGCCCGGCCUGCCGGGGCGACGCUGCGGACGGCCUGAUCCGGCUGGAAUGGCGGCGGGCCGACGAGGGAUCUAGCGGAGGUGGGUGUCGCGCGGCAAUGGCUGCGGCGGAGGCGCGGCGCCGGUCAGCGGUCUGGGCCCUGCUGCCGCUGCUGCUGCGGCUGCUCCACCCGGUCGCGCUCGUGCUGGCCAACACCGAAGGUUGGCCCUACCCUGCUCUUUUUAAGGCUGAAAUGCCCUGGUCAGCCUGAAGAGGAAAUCUCUCAGAGAAACAAAGAGUCUUCAAAAUGGUGAAAGGGUAAUAUAAUGAUUUUACCUUCCUGCUCGGUUAUUUUAGUGCGUUGUUUGCCUUAUAGAGUAAAACUUCCCAGUUCCUUGUUUCUCCAUUAUGUUUUGUUUAAUUUGUCUUAAUUAUGCAGUAUACUGAAAUAACUUACACAGGAGAAAUUUGAGGUAAAGUAUUUUAGAACCGGACAACCUUCAGUUUCAGUAUUCAGAGUUAGACAAUCACACUUUUCCAAAGGUAUCCAAUAUACAAAUGCAUUAGCCUAUGUGCGAGUAAAUGAUCCAGUAUAUAUAGUCAGACACAUGAAAAAAGCCACUUUAAAAAUCAUAAGAUUUAGCCUUAUUAUAAGAUAGUAUGGCUUAUCUGCAUCUUCCAGUAUAAAAAUCAUGUCACUUUAAAUCAUUGCAUUGCAGUUCAUUAUAGGAUACAUUUCAUCUAGAGCCUUAUUAUGGAGACAUGCCACUGCUGAAUGUUUAGCUUCAAGUUGUUCUCUAGAGCCUUAUAUGGAGACUGACUGUUUGGCCUGCAAAACAUUUCUCUGCAGUUUUAACAAUAUAUUUAGCAUUCAUGGUUAGUGUACAAAGUUACUACUAUACACUUGUGAAGUGGAACUUGAUGAUAUCUUCAUUUUUUGACUUUUUGUGCUUUAGGCUCCUCUUCUUGGAUCGACUGCAGCAGUUAGAUCUGCACAUGUAUAUCUUUGUUUAAUUAUCGUCUCCGUAUUGUAAGAUUAAUUUGAGCUUCCAUUCUACUUUUGCUCCACAUAUGAAACAUUAAAAGAUACUCUAAUUAUGCUAUUUAACUCCAAGGGUGGAGGUGGAAUGGGUGAUUAUAACCACCUGCAGGUUGUGUACAUAUCUUUAGUACAUAUCCAUUAUGCUAUUUAACUCCGAAAGGAGACAAUAUGCAUCAGUUUCAACAACUUUGUUGUUUCCUUUUCAUGCUGUCUUAUAGGAUGGCAUUUUCUGCUCAAUUUGUCCGUUGCUGAUUUCAGUCGGGUAAUGUUCUUUCUGCACAAUGACUUUUGCUUGCAAAGUCGAGUUUGGCAUUAUGCUUUGUGUAGAUGUAUCUGAGAAUUGCAUGACUGCAUACCCUUAACAUGAAAUUUCAUUUUUAGAGAUUAGAUUAGAUUAGAUAUGUCGCUGAUGGAAGUCCAACUAAUAGCGAACUGAAGACCGCCGACCUUGUGUCUACACCCGCACAUUCUGUUGCAUCUAUACCUCCUUCUACACCAGCACUUCAUGUUGCUCCUGCACUUUUGUCUACCCCUGUCAGAUGCUCAUCUCCAUUUAUCACGCCACCAUAUUGUUCCUCAGGUAUGCAAGCAAUUUUUAUUUUUGAUCUUUCUCCUUGUUAGCUUGAUUGAUCUUUCUCCAGUAUUUAUUUGUGGGCUUGGUUAAUCUAGGUUCCAUUUAGUUGUUGAAUUAGUUCUAAAAUCAUAGUGGAACCAAAAUAAUGUGUGGAUAUUUGCAAACGAGUUUCUCUUGAAGUCAUGGUGUGAGGAAAAAAGGUAAUGUCCUUCACAUUAUUCUGGUUUAGUAUACCUUGUUGAUUAUUGACAUAUGUUGGUCAUGUUGGUGCUCCACUACCUUGUUCGUAUAUUAAGGCAUGCUACAUUUCUUAACUACGUACCAAUGAUGUGGAUACGAUUUUUGCAGCAAAGCUAUUUUUAUCCUGGUGUUAUCUUAUCUAUUCUCAUGACAGUGAAUUUAGUUUUAUUGUUGACCUCCCACGGUUCUUGACUUCCUAACAUCGGCCACUUUAUUUUUAGUUGAUUGACUGGCAUGAGGGUGGAUACUUGACUGUUGAUUUACCAAUGUCUCGGGGAGAAGUUGUCAUUGGGGGUCCAAAUGUAACUAAAGGCUAUUUCAAGGAUGAAGCUAAAACAAAUGAUGAUUGUGAGCCCAUAUAUGGAGAACAUUAUAAUCAAUACUGAUCCUUUCCAUAAUUACUGUGUUGCGCUUGUGGCAGCUGCACAAAUUGAGCUGUAAAGCUAGGCUUCCCAACAAGGAGUUAAAACAACAAUUCCUCAAAUUUGUGCUAGAAGCAAGAGGCUGUUAAAGAAGUGCUCUUUAGCAAAGGUUUCGUCAUUCUUGCCUACCGCUGUCCCUUUGCUUCAGAAUACGGUGAAACAGAAGUCCUUCAUUGGCUCUUCUCAUCUUGGCUCACAUGCAGUACUUGAAUACCAGUUUCUUCCUGAGCAGCCAAGUGAUGCAUAUGAGAGGGGAAGCCAGUUGCGCUUCUAUGAUGCUCUAGCAGAAGUGUUAAACUCAAGGGUAGAUUCGUUUUCUAUAGGAUCACACUUUACCCAUGUAGUUGAGCAGGCACCUAGCUAUACAUUUCACAGUCAAUCAUCUGGUUCUAGCUGUUUGUCAAAUAUUAUUGCUAGCAUGGCUCAAAUCCAAAUAUUAUUGCUAGCAUGGCUCAAAUCCACGGUCAAAAAUUGGCAUCCCUCAAGUUGUCAGAUUUGAAAGCUCCCUCGCAUCCCCUAAAAGAUUGGGUUAUCAUGAUGAAGAACAUGUCACGUGGACAGAAAAACACAAGAACUAUAUUUAUGGAUAUACUAUUUUUUUCUUCUUUUGUAUUAUUAUAUUCAUAUCCUUUUUUACCUUUAUAUUAUUAUUUUUUAUAUAUGUUGUAUUUGUCUAAUAUUACUUCAUCAUAAUGAG